Molecule: long non-coding RNA, 728 nt
Filed under: Medicago truncatula (barrel medic)
Lineage: Eukaryota; Viridiplantae; Streptophyta; Magnoliopsida; Fabales; Fabaceae
Description: long non-coding RNA (MTRU_LNC002573)
Source: RNAcentral
CCUAAUAGUUGAUGGAGAGCCACGGUCAUAUAAGGAGAUAAUCGAUUAUGACAGUGUUGUGCCUAUCGAGUAUGAAACUGACAGGUCAACGGCCAAAGAAGAAUCUGGCCCUAUAAUUUCUGAAGAUAGUGAUGGUCACCCGGAGAACCUAAUGGUUGAUGGAGAACUUCAGUCUUAUAAGGACGGAAUAUAUUAUGACAAUGUUGUGCUCACUGAGCAUGAAACUGAUAGCGUAGAAGCCAAAGAACCUGGCCCUACAGUUUCUGAAGAUGGUGAUGGUCACCAGGUGAACCUAAUGGUUGAUGGAGACCUGCAGUCUCAUAAGGCGAGAACAGUUAACGGCAUUGUUGUUCCUACCGAGCAUGAAACGUAUACCGAAGCAGCCAAAGAAGAAUCUGGCCCUACAAUUUCUGAAGAUAGUGAUAGUCACCUGGAGAACCAAAUGGUAGAUGGAGAGAUACAGUCUUAUAAGGAGAGAGUAGACUAUGACAGUGUUAUGCCUACUGAGCAUGAAACUGAUAGGGCAGAAGCCAAAGAAGAACCUUGCUGUACAAUUUCUGAAGAUAGUGAUGGUCACCCGGAGAACCAAAUGGUUGACAGGGAGCUGCAUCCUUAUAAGGAGAGAAUAGAUUAUGACAAUGUUGUGCCUACUGAGAAUGAAACUGAUAGGACAGAAGACAAAGAAGAAUCUUUCCCUAGAAUCUCUGAAGAUAGUGGUGGUCAUCUGG